AACGCUAGCUACAGGCUUAACACAUGCAAGUCGAGGGGCAGCAUCAUCAAAGCUUGCUUUGAUGGAUGGCGACCGGCGCACGGGUGAGUAACACGUAUCCAACCUGCCGACAACACUGGGAUAGCCUUUCGAAAGAAAGAUUAAUACCGGAUGGCAUAGUUUUCCCGCAUGGGAUAAUUAUUAAAGAAUUUCGGUUGUCGAUGGGGAUGCGUUCCAUUAGGCAGUUGGCGGGGUAACGGCCCACCAAACCAACGAUGGAUAGGGGUUCUGAGAGGAAGGUCCCCCACAUUGGAACUGAGACACGGUCCAAACUCCUACGGGAGGCAGCAGUGAGGAAUAUUGGUCAAUGGACGAGAGUCUGAACCAGCCAAGUAGCGUGAAGGAUGACUGCCCUAUGGGUUGUAAACUUCUUUUAUACGGGAAUAAAGUUAGCCACGUGUGGCUUUUUGUAUGUACCGUAUGAAUAAGGAUCGGCUAACUCCGUGCCAGCAGCCGCGGUAAUACGGAGGAUCCGAGCGUUAUCCGGAUUUAUUGGGUUUAAAGGGAGCGUAGGUGGACUGGUAAGUCAGUUGUGAAAGUUUGCGGCUCAACCGUAAAAUUGCAGUUGAUACUGUCAGUCUUGAGUACAGUAGAGGUGGGCGGAAUUCGUGGUGUAGCGGUGAAAUGCUUAGAUAUCACGAAGAACUCCGAUUG
This 693-nucleotide ribosomal RNA is filed under the name uncultured bacterium. RNAcentral describes it as "bacterial SSU rRNA". It matches the Rfam family "Bacterial small subunit ribosomal RNA", at positions 32 to 715 of the family's 1533-position model. The record is from RNAcentral.